UUGAUAUUAAUGAUUGAUUUCUAUAUAUUUUCCUCUGCAGUUUGCUGUGUUGAUGUGGAUCCUGACCUACGUCGGCUCCCUGUUCAACGGCCUCACUAUUCUCAUUCUCUCUCUGGUCGGUUUGUUCAGCUGCCCGAUCGUCUAUGAGAAGCAUCAGACUCAGAUCGACCACUACCUGGCUCUGGUCAACAACCAGGUCAAAGACGUCGUUGGAAAGAUCCAGGCGAAGGUUCCCGGGAUGAAACGAGUGAAAGCAGAGU
This is a long non-coding RNA of Notothenia coriiceps (black rockcod), 260 nucleotides long. RefSeq lists it as uncharacterized. The transcript has 4 exons. The record is from RefSeq and is a predicted model, not a curated record. Lineage: Eukaryota; Metazoa; Chordata; Actinopteri; Perciformes; Nototheniidae.